Molecule: long non-coding RNA, 3867 nt
Filed under: Sus scrofa (pig)
Lineage: Eukaryota; Metazoa; Chordata; Mammalia; Artiodactyla; Suidae
Description: lncRNA (ENSSSCG00055006527.1)
Source: RNAcentral
UUCAGUCCCUGGCCCUUGAACUUCUGUAUGCUGUGCAUGUGAAACAAGUGAAAUUAAUUGAAAUAACUUAACCCACUCUAUAAAAAAUUUAAUAACUUUAAUACAUAUGCAUUUAUGCAUAUAUUGAUAUAUUCCCAUGUAUUGGUAUAGAAACAUUGAGAUAAUUACUUAAUUUUUUCCCAGUGUAGUUGCUGUAUUGGACAGUGUGGGUCUAAAAUAUAUUAGCUUAUACAUUUAAUUUUAAUUUUCUCUUCUUUUUUAGGCUGCUUCUUAACCUGUACUAGUUAGCAUGUGAGCUUGUUACUGGCUCACAUGCUAACUGAUGAUACAGCUCAGAAGACAAGGAUUCGGGAUGUAACCUGACUUAAUUUUAGAGUGCCAGUUGGAGAGCUCAGGUGAACUCAGAAUGCUCCAACGUGGAUUCGGUGUAGAUCUCUGACUUUGUGCUGGGCAUCUGGAGGGUGCCCUCGCUCUCAGCCUCCUAGGGGGCAGAAACUACCUUGUAUGAAAACGUGCUGCUGUGUAAAUUUAAGCUGUACAGCAUAGUGAUAUGACUUAUAUACAUCAUGAAAUGAUUAACCAUGCUGAGUUUAGUGAGCAUCCAUCAUCUCACACAGAUACAAAAUUAAAGAAAUAGAAAAGAAAAAAAAAAAAAAAAAAAAAAAAAAAAAAAGAAGAAGUGCUGGAAGUGUCAGGGAGACUCUCUUUGCUGUUGAGUCAGCCUUGGCUUUGGCCUCCUGUCAGUACAGAGAGCUUGCAGCUGAAUUAGGUCCUUGCUUCUCUUGGAAUUGAGAAGGAAGGUGUGGGUUUUUUGAGUAAGAUUACUGAUUAAGGUGUGAAAUCUUCCUCAGUCCAUUUACUUAAAAUCUGAACAUCAAGUAGAUCAUAUAAUCAUUUCUUAGCUUAGAUAGAUCAUAGAAACUAGCAAAUUAAGGUGGUGAAAGACCCACACGUGAAUUUAUCAUCAGGUCUGCCCUGAUUUCUAGGUAAAGGCUAGUGUACAUAUAAGGUCUACAGGGUGUGUGAUUUGAAUGGAACUUUUUCCUUCAUUUUUUAGAUCACUACUCAAAGUCCACUGACAGAAUACAGGGAGACAGACUUGAUUAGAUUAGACCAGAUUGGAUUAAAUCGAAUGGUUAAAGCCUUUGGAGCCUCUAGCUUGUAGGAGACGCCAUAAUGGGCUUCAUAGUCCCUAAAUCCUAUUAGGUAGGUUAAUCUUAUUGAAGAAUUUAGGUCUGCAUAAAGCAGCAUUGCCCUUAUACUCUCUCUGGUGGUCUCUGGCCCUUAAGGUGAGCUGACAGUAACUUUCUUGGAAUAGACUGAUAAUGUUGGUUUGGGGCAAGUUUCUAAACAACUUCAAAGUGGCUACCUGCAGUUGGUCCAGGGAACAUUCCUCGCAGAAAAAUAGUCUGUCUCCUGGCUGGUCUUUGGUGUGGUGGCUGUUAGUGUCUGUGCCAGGGAUGAUUUUAGCCCUGGUUUUGGGGAAAGAGUCAGGAGAGAUGUGUGUAAAUAGCAAAAAUCGGCUGCUGUCUCGUUGUAGCAGGUGUGGGGGUGGAUUGAGGGGAGGGAGCUUUAUUUUUAAGCUUUGUGACAUCAUCCCUUAUAGCCUGCAUCCAUUUUAGAGGUUGUCAUUAAGAAUCACGUGCUGAGUCUGUAGCAUGGUUGACACACUGUACUAAAUGUUGUGAAGAAAAUAAAGAAUCUUGGAACUUGGGAGCUGGAAGCAUCUUUGUGAUUUUUCUGGGUAUGCUUGUAGGUUUAUUCUAAGUUUGAGUUGGCUCUUGCCUGUUUCUACAGAUGCAGUGACCAUGUUUUUCUGAAGCCAAACAUCCUUUUUGUCACAGAAUUUUUUCCCCAGUUUGUGAAUAUAAGGACAGGCAAAGUUUUACAAAGGCCUAUACAUUGCGUCAAAUUUUAUUAUAGAUUUACUCUCUUUUGAAAGAAGAAAAAAGUGCAAGAAAUUGGGACUGUCUACCUCUGGAUGUAUGCUUACUGCAUUCACCGUGAGGACUGGUAGAAAGAACUGUGAAAAAAAAAAAAUAAUUAGACUUUCAUCUUUGUUAAAGAUAGUUUGGUUAGACGUGAAAAACCUUGACUCACAAGUGAUUAUUACCUACAGAUUGGUCUCCAGAGAUGCAGGAACAUUUUUUUCCAGGCGCCUUUAAAAAUAAGUUGCAGAGUGCCUCAGCUAGGAACUGAGAGUCCAUCAUUGAGAUCCUCUGAGUUAAUUGGUUCACAAGCAGAAAGUGAGGCAUCAUCCAGUUGAGACAUUCCUAUAUCCAAGGGGCUGAGCCAUUCUGACCUGGGAACUUCCUUCUUGAUAGAGCUUAGGGGGCUUGUUAGCUUUUCAUUUAUUCCCCUAUCUGGGCUAUGCCUGCUGUUAGCUAAGGAGUGAGCUAAGCUUAGUUUUUUAUUUAACUUUUCUGGUGGGGCAGCCCUGUGCAUCUGUGUCUUCUCCUCAAAGAAUAAAGAAAAUUUCAGGUGUGGGCCAGACAUGCAGUCUGAAGAACAGUUAUGAUAGAUGAAUGGUUUUGAUUUGCUUUUAGGAAGGAAAGUGCAGCUAGCCCUUUGGAUGAAGAUAAUAUCUCUCUCCAGCCCUCCUCUUUAUCGAGUGUACGGUGUUCUCUUUCUGUAUGGCACUUGUAUUUUCAAGAGCUGGGGUCAUUGACAGAAUACUUCUCACUCUUGAGUUUCCGAGCACAGCAGAGUAUACAUGUCUGAAGCCAGGAAUGUAAUUUUCUCUAAGUGUACCAAGCAUGGCUUUAAUUCUUCUUAUGUGCAUGCACAUAUUCUAUUCACAUUUGUGGUUUUUUUUUUUUUUUUUUUUUUUUUUGCUUCUUGAGGAAUAACUAACUACCCACCACCACCUUAUCCUUUUAUUGAUUCUUGAUUACACACAUCUCAGGAUAACCUUUGUUAGGAAGCAGCUGCUGGAAGAAUGUGUGCUCAGUUGGUCUCUGUGAUCUUUACUACUGUGCUCCUGUGACCCUAGGGUCACCCUGCCUACCCUCUCCUGUGCAUCAGCCCAGCCUUGUUCUUCAGGGCGUCUUCUUACUCUAUGAAGGAGACAUCCUUGACUCUCUCUGUCUCAACCUGGUAUCCAUGUCUGUUGAGGAAGUUCCAGAGGGGAAGAGGUCACGGAGGGAAUUUGAACAAGGAGAAACAGUGGAUCUGGUUAGGAGAAAUAUAUAAAACCUCAGUAUUCUUUGCUAAGUGUUCUUGGAAUCACAGUGUUCUUUGGAAUCACAAUAUGCUUUGGUCUGGGGACCUUUGAGAGUGCUCUUACCAGCCAUCAGACAGCCCUGUGUAAUUUUUCUGCAUAAGCUCACUCACUCUCCUCUUUUAAAGAUUUCUUGAUUUGCAUCCCACAGCAGUUGCUCCCAAUCUUGCUGGGGCGAGCUCCCAAUUUUGCUGAGUCCCUUUGGGAAGGAGGAGAAGUUGUCCUCUCUCGUAGUUUACAGACCCUUGCAUGUCCUGCUCCAGAGCGUCACAGAAAACAGUAAUAAUGCCUAAAGCUUAUUUAUGCACUCAAAGCAUGCCUUGCACUGUGACAGGUGCAUCACAUGGAUUAUUGCUUAUAAUAUUCAAGCCAGCCUGGUAAAGUAUGUGUGUUGUCACUGUCUUCAGUUUAUAUAUGGGAAAUUGAGGAGUUCCCGUGGUGGCUCAUUGGUAACGAAAGUAUCCAUGAGGAUGAGGGUUCAGUCCCUGGCCUCGCUCAGUGGGUUAAGGAUCUGGGGUUGCCGUGAGUUAUGGUGUAAAUUGCAGAUGAGGCUCUGAUCUGGCAUUGCUGUGAUCAAUGCUUAGGCCGGUGACUACAGCUCCCAUUUGACCCCUAGCCUGGGAACCUCCAUAUACCGUGGGUGUGGC